UCUCCUGCUUUGAAUGCCGGCCUAUUUACGGGUCCACGGCCGUCUAAAUCGACAGAGACCUUUACCUCAUUCUCCGCCCCCCAACAAGUAAAGGGCUAUUGCGACCUUAGCUCGGCGUUCAUCUUUCCGGUCUAGCUCAAUGAUGAGCUUUUUAGAUGUUCAGUCUGUUCGGACGGAUAUGACGUUGCAUGUCAUCGUCGUGGGAACCUCAUCAUCGCUGGUAUCCUCGGGUCCCGACGGAUAUCCGUCUGCAGGCUUAGAGCUUUGCCACCAAUGAAUUCAUUAUCAUACUCUAAUUAGAAUGGCUUAAUUGGUUUUGGUUUGGACUCUGCUCUCACUAACGUCGUAGAAAGCCAUUCGUCAAGCUACCAAGCAAUAUGUGUCAAUGUACUCUUUCUGUACCCCGAUACCUAUUGAGUAGCAAAUCUCUGCACUCUCGUAGUAAAUUAUCCUUUCCUCGAUGAACUGAUGAACUCAAGUCCAGGCUGGAAACAAAAAUACCACGAGAUGUGGAGCGCGAGAAAAUCAUUUAUCUCUCCAAGCUAGGAGGAGCUGUCUUAAUAGCUGCUUUAAGUCUUAGCUCUUUUCUUUAGGAACGACCAGUAAGCGUAAACAUCCGAAGGCGAUUAAUGGUUAUUAGUCGUAUCAUUUUCACCUUAGCCUGCAAGCACCCUUGCUUCGCCACUUANNN
RNAcentral lists this long non-coding RNA (691 nucleotides) under Panax ginseng (ginseng). RNAcentral describes it as "long non-coding RNA (PGIN_LNC006334)". Lineage: Eukaryota; Viridiplantae; Streptophyta; Magnoliopsida; Apiales; Araliaceae. The record is from RNAcentral.